This 253-nucleotide ribosomal RNA is filed under the name uncultured bacterium. Its description in RNAcentral is "partial 16S ribosomal RNA". It matches the Rfam family "Bacterial small subunit ribosomal RNA", at positions 524 to 776 of the family's 1533-position model. The record is from RNAcentral.
UACAGAGGGGGCAAGCGUUGUUCGGAAUUACUGGGCGUAAAGGGCGCGUAGGCGGCCUUCUAAGUCGAACGUGAAAUCCCCGGGCUCAACCCGGGAACUGCGUCCGAGACUGGAAGGCUUGAAUCCGGGAGAGGGAUGUGGAAUUCUCGGUGUAGCGGUGAAAUGCGUAGAUAUCGAGAGGAACACCUGCGGCGAAGGCGGGUUGCUGGGCUGACACUGACGCUGAGGCGCGAAAGCUAGGGGAGCGAACGGG